GGUUAAGCGACUAAGCGUACACGGUGGAUGCCCUGGCAGUCAGAGGCGAUGAAGGGCGUGCUAAUCUGCGAUAAGCGCCGGUAAGGUGAUAUGAACCGUUAUAACCGGCGAUACCCGAAUGGGGAAACCCAGUGUGAUUCGUCACACUAUCAUUAACUGAAUCCAUAGGUUAAUGAGGCGAACCGGGGGAACUGAAACAUCUAAGUACCCCGAGGAAAAGAAAUCAACCGAGAUUCCCCCAGUAGCGGCGAGCGAACGGGGAGGAGCCCAGAGCCUGAAUCAGCAUGUGUGUUAGUGGAAGCGUCUGGAAAGGCGCGCGAUACAGGGUGACAGCCCCGUACACAAAAGCGCAUGUGCUGUGAGCUCGAUGAGUAGGGCGGGACACGUGGUAUCCUGUCUGAAUAUGGGGGGACCAUCCUCCAAGGCUAAAUACUCCUGACUGACCGAUAGUGAACCAGUACCGUGAGGGAAAGGCGAAAAGAACCCCGGCGAGGGGAGUGAAAAAGAACCUGAAACCGUGUACGUACAAGCAGUGGGAGCACCCUUCGGGGUGUGACUGCGUACCUUUUGUAUAAUGGGUCAGCGACUUAUAUUCUGUAGCAAGGUUAACCGUAUAGGGGAGCCGGAGGGAAACCGAGUCUUAACCGGGCGUUAAGUUGCAGGGUAUAGACCCGAAACCCGGUGAUCUAGCCAUGGGCAGGUUGAAGGUUGGGUAACACUAACUGGAGGACCGAACCGACUAAUGUUGAAAAAUUAGCGGAUGACCUGUGGCUGGGGGUGAAAGGCCAAUCAAACCGGGAGAUAGCUGGUUCUCCCCGAAAGCUAUUUAGGUAGCGCCUCGUGAAUUCAUCUCCGGGGGUAGAGCACUGUUUCGGCUAGGGGGCCAUCCCGGCUUACCAACCCGAUGCAAACUGCGAAUACCGGAGAAUGUUAUCACGGGAGACACACGGCGGGUGCUAACGUCCGUCGUGAAGAGGGAAACAACCCAGACCGCCAGCUAAGGUCCCAAAGUCAUGGUUAAGUGGGAAACGAUGUGGGAAGGCCCAGACAGCCAGGAUGUUGGCUUAGAAGCAGCCAUCAUUUAAAGAAAGCGUAAUAGCUCACUGGUCGAGUCGGCCUGCGCGGAAGAUGUAACGGGGCUAAACCAUGCACCGAAGCUGCGGCAGCGAACGUAUCACCCAAGACAACUUUACGGAGUUGACGAUUGACGGAGCGAAGCGACGUCAAAGCGUUCAUUAAAGUCGAGUUGGCUUAGGGAUACGUUCGUUGGGUAGGGGAGCGUUCUGUAAGCCUGUGAAGGUGUGUCGUGAGGCAUGCUGGAGGUAUCAGAAGUGCGAAUGCUGACAUAAGUAACGAUAAAGCGGGUGAAAAGCCCGCUCGCCGGAAGACCAAGGGUUCCUGUCCAACGUUAAUCGGGGCAGGGUGAGUCGACCCCUAAGGCGAGGCCGAAAGGCGUAGUCGAUGGGAAACGGGUUAAUAUUCCCGUACUUGGUGUUACUGCGAAGGGGGGACGGAGAAGGCUAUGUUGGCCGGGCGACGGUUGUCCCGGUUUAAGCGUGUAGGUGUGUGUUCCAGGUAAAUCCGGUUCACUUUAACACUGAGGCGUGACGACGAGGCACUACGGUGCUGAAGCAACAAAUGCCCUGCUUCCAGGAAAAGCCUCUAAGCAUCAGGUAACAUCAAAUCGUACCCCAAACCGACACAGGUGGUCAGGUAGAGAAUACCAAGGCGCUUGAGAGAACUCGGGUGAAGGAACUAGGCAAAAUGGUGCCGUAACUUCGGGAGAAGGCACGCUGACACGUAGGUGAAGUGAUUUACUCACGGAGCUGAAGUCAGUCGAAGAUACCAGCUGGCUGCAACUGUUUAUUAAAAACACAGCACUGUGCAAACACGAAAGUGGACGUAUACGGUGUGACGCCUGCCCGGUGCCGGAAGGUUAAUUGAUGGGGUCAGCGCAAGCGAAGCUCCUGAUCGAAGCCCCGGUAAACGGCGGCCGUAACUAUAACGGUCCUAAGGUAGCGAAAUUCCUUGUCGGGUAAGUUCCGACCUGCACGAAUGGCGUAAUGAUGGCCAGGCUGUCUCCACCCGAGACUCAGUGAAAUUGAACUCGCUGUGAAGAUGCAGUGUACCCGCGGCAAGACGGAAAGACCCCGUGAACCUUUACUAUAGCUUGACACUGAACAUUGAGCCUUGAUGUGUAGGAUAGGUGGGAGGCUUUGAAGUGUGGACGCCAGUCUGCAUGGAGCCGACCUUGAAAUACCACCCUUUAAUGUUUGAUGUUCUAACGUGGACCCGUAAUCCGGGUUGCGGACAGUGUCUGGUGGGUAGUUUGACUGGGGCGGUCUCCUCCUAAAGAGUAACGGAGGAGCACGAAGGUUGGCUAAUCCUGGUCGGACAUCAGGAGGUUAGUGCAAUGGCAUAAGCCAGCUUGACUGCGAGCGUGACGGCGCGAGCAGGUGCGAAAGCAGGUCAUAGUGAUCCGGUGGUUCUGAAUGGAAGGGCCAUCGCUCAACGGAUAAAAGGUACUCCGGGGAUAACAGGCUGAUACCGCCCAAGAGUUCAUAUCGACGGCGGUGUUUGGCACCUCGAUGUCGGCUCAUCACAUCCUGGGGCUGAAGUAGGUCCCAAGGGUAUGGCUGUUCGCCAUUUAAAGUGGUACGCGAGCUGGGUUUAGAACGUCGUGAGACAGUUCGGUCCCUAUCUGCCGUGGGCGCUGGAGAACUGAGGGGGGCUGCUCCUAGUACGAGAGGACCGGAGUGGACGCAUCACUGGUGUUCGGGUUGUCAUGCCAAUGGCACUGCCCGGUAGCUAAAUGCGGAAGAGAUAAGUGCUGAAAGCAUCUAAGCACGAAACUUGCCCCGAGAUGAGUUCUCCCUGAGACUUAGAGUCUCCUGAAGGAACGUUGAAGACGACGACGUUGAUAGGCCGGGUGUGUAAGCGCAGCGAUGCGUUGAGCUAACCGGUACUAAUGAACCGUGAGGCUUAACCUU
This 2990-nucleotide ribosomal RNA is filed under the name Salmonella enterica subsp. enterica serovar Typhimurium. RNAcentral describes it as "23S ribosomal RNA". It matches the Rfam family "Bacterial large subunit ribosomal RNA". The record is from RNAcentral. Lineage: Bacteria; Pseudomonadati; Pseudomonadota; Gammaproteobacteria; Enterobacterales; Enterobacteriaceae.